GCCACUGUGCUUGAGGUAUCCCUCGCAGGAAACGAGAUUGACCUUCCUUAUUACCUGUUUGUUCCGCAAUAACACCCAACAAAGAUGAAGUUUGUUGCCGUGCUGCUCAUGGCAAUCUUCUUGACCAUCUUAAGCUCUGUAGCAGGGAAGAAGGCACUUUCUUCAAGAACAAGGCACACCGGCAUUCGGAUGAAGAGAUCGUGCCCGUUCUGCUCAAGAGGGAAUUUUGCUGCCACCCUCGCCACCUUUCUCGAUCCUACAAAAGACAAAGCUCCGAUUGACAAAAUUGGCCCUCACGGCUUCGGCCGAAGGAAGAGAAGGUCUCUCCCUCAAGAGAGAAAUCUUCUGGCACUGGUAGCUGGAAGACGGGUGGCAGGUUGAUAAGCAGGAACACAGCUGGCAGCUUUGCUCUGGAGAUCACACCAAGCUCUACACCUCCGCACUCAAAAGAUAAAAUAAAAAUAUUGAUGGCGA
Molecule: long non-coding RNA, 474 nt
Organism: Ornithodoros turicata
Lineage: Eukaryota; Metazoa; Arthropoda; Arachnida; Ixodida; Argasidae
Exons: 2
Source: RefSeq, a predicted model, not a curated record